UGACCACAGGCGAUUGGUUUUAGUGGUAGGUGUGUGGGGAUCUGUUCUGGUCAUCUGGAUGCUGGUCAUCGGUGUGCAGUAUUGAUCAGGACCUGCAAACCCAAAAGUUUAUGGGAGCUGGCACGUCAUCCCAUCAUCUUCGUUUCAGACAGAGCAAACAGCAACAAGGAGCUGGGUGUGGACCAGGAGUCAGAGGAGGGCAAAGGCAAAACAAGCCCUGAUAAGCAAAAGCAGUCCCCACAGGUGUCUGGGCAUGUGGCAUGGGUGGGGUGGCCAGCACGCUACAGGGGCUUCCUAUGCGCUUGGGAUACACAGGGGCUGGAGGCUUCCCAGGAGUUUGUCUUGAACAUCUGGAGGUUUGAAUUUGUCCCACUGACCUUUUCUUUCGCAAGUUCCCCUGAAAUUUGGGCUGCUGCUUGGGUGAAUAUCCCAGGAUGGGGGUUCCAUUCUAGGAGUGGACUGGCAGGCUGAGCCUCCCAUGGAGCUGAUCCAGCCAGGAUACAGAGAAGGGGAGGCAAAGACUGAGACAGAACCAGCUUGAGAGCGGAGGCGCA
Molecule: small RNA, 554 nt
Filed under: Pan troglodytes (chimpanzee)
Lineage: Eukaryota; Metazoa; Chordata; Mammalia; Primates; Hominidae
Description: retained intron
Source: RNAcentral